CUCUCAUGCCAUCCACUAGUGACCCAUCAGGGAAGGAGGGAACAGGCUGUAGGAUUCAGGUGGCUCCAAGUCAGUGGUCUAGGGUGGAUGCCGACUGGACAAGCUAUGACUCGGUUCAUUGUUCUCAGCUCCUCAUCUCUACUGGGAGGUGAGAGUGCUCUGAGGGUGAGCGAAGGGGUCAAUCAUCCGUCCUCGUACCUGGAACAUGAUGCCUUACAGGAUGCUUCUCUGGCCCAUCCCUUAUCAUCUUGAAAAUGGACAUUUGAAGAGACAGAACUCACAGUGUUCUCCAUCCCAAGGUCCAGUGAAUGGCACUGUGCUGCC
RNAcentral lists this long non-coding RNA (324 nucleotides) under Rattus norvegicus (Norway rat). RNAcentral's name for it is "long non-coding RNA NONRATT032093". Lineage: Eukaryota; Metazoa; Chordata; Mammalia; Rodentia; Muridae. The record is from RNAcentral.